Molecule: ribosomal RNA, 506 nt
Filed under: uncultured bacterium
Lineage: Bacteria
Description: partial 16S ribosomal RNA
Rfam family: Bacterial small subunit ribosomal RNA
Source: RNAcentral
AUUGAACGCUGGCGGCAUGCCUUACACAUGCAAGUCGAACGGCAGCGGGGGAGAAGCUUGCUUUUCCUGCCGGCGAGUGGCGAACGGGUGAGUAAUACAUCGGAACGUGCCCUGUAGUGGGGGAUAACUAGUCGAAAGAUUAGCUAAUACCGCAUACGACCUGAGGGUGAAAGUGGGGGACCGCAAGGCCUCAUGCUAUAGGAGCGGCCGAUGUCUGAUUAGCUAGUUGGUGGGGUAAAGGCCUACCAAGGCGACGAUCAGUAGCUGGUCUGAGAGGACGAUCAGCCACUGGGACUGAGACACGGCCCAGACUCCUACGGGAGGCAGCAGUGGGGAAUUUUGGACAAUGGGCGAAAGCCUGAUCCAGCAAUGCCGCGUGUGUGAAGAAAGCCUUCGGGUUGUAAAGCACUUUUGUCCGGAAAGAAAUGGCUCUGGUUAAUACCUGGGGUCGAUGACGGUACCGGAAGAAUAAGGACCGGCUAACUACGUGCCAGCCGCCGCCGUAA